GAAUCAUAAUAACUUAACGAAUCGCAUGGCCUUGCGCCGGCGAUGGUUCAUUCAAAUUUCUGCCCUAUCAACUUUCGAUGGUAGGAUAGUGGCCUACCAUGGUGGCAACGGGUAACGGGGAAUUAGGGUUCGAUUCCGGAGAGGGAGCCUGAGAAACGGCUACCACAUCCAAGGAAGGCAGCAGGCGCGCAAAUUACCCAAUCCCGACACGGGGAGGUAGUGACAAUAAAUACUGAUACGGGGCUCUUUUGGGUCUCGUAAUUGGAAUGAGUACAAUCUAAAUCCCUUAACGAGGAACAAUUGGAGGGCAAGUCUGGUGCCAGCAGCCGCGGUAAUUCCAGCUCCAAUAGCGUAUAUUAAAGUUGUUGCAGUUAAAAAGCUCGUAGUUGAACCUUGGGUCUGGCUGGCCGGUCCGCCUCACCGCGAGUACUGGUCCGGCUGGACCUUUCCUUCUGGGGAAUCCCAUGGCCUUCACUGGCUGUGGGUGGAACCAGGACUUUUACUGUGAAAAAAUUAGAGUGUUCAAAGCAGGCCUUUGCUCGAAUACAUUAGCAUGGAAUAAUAGAAUAGGACGUGCGG
RNAcentral lists this ribosomal RNA (579 nucleotides) under Trichocomaceae sp. nPF-58. Its description in RNAcentral is "SSU rRNA". It matches the Rfam family "Eukaryotic small subunit ribosomal RNA", at positions 248 to 834 of the family's 1831-position model. The record is from RNAcentral. Lineage: Eukaryota; Fungi; Ascomycota; Eurotiomycetes; Eurotiales; Trichocomaceae.